ACGGGGUGCAGCAGGCGCGAAACCUCUACAAUGCGCGAAAGCGUGAUAGGGGAAGUCUGAGUGGCGGUAGCAAUGCUAUCGUCUUUUACCAAGUGUAAAUAGCUUGGAGAAUAAGGGUGUGGGCAAACACACCCUUAUCGGUGGAUUAACAGUCGAUAGGGAGUGGCCUAUGACUGGUGGCAGCCGCCGCGGUAACACCAGCGCCUCGAGUGAUAUCCACGAAUACUGGGCCUAAAGCGUCCGUAGCCGGAUUAGUAAGUCCACUGUGAAAUGUUGGGGCUCAACCCUAACGCUUGCAGUAGAUACUGCUGAUCUCGGGAACGGGGGAGGGUCGGAGUACGUCCAGGGUAGGGGUAAAAUCCGUUGAGCCUGGACGGACUACCAGUGGCGAAGGCGCCGAUCCAAAACGUGUCCGACGGUGAGGGACGAAAGCUAGGGGAGCGAACGGGAUUAGAUACCCCGGUAGUCCUAGCUGUAAAUAAUGCUGACUGUGGUGUUGCAUAUGAGUAAUCAUAUGCAGUGCUGUAGCGUAGGUCUUAAGUCAGCCGCCUGGGGAGUACGAUCGCAAGAUUUAAACUUAAAGGAAUUGGCGGGGGAGCACCACAAGCCGUGGAUGCUACGGUUUAAUUGGAUACAACGCCGGAAAUCUGACCAGUGGAGACGGCAGAAUGACAGCCAGGCUGAAGGUCUUGCUUGACGAGCCGAGAGGUAUUGCAUGGCCAUCGUCAGCUCGUG
RNAcentral lists this ribosomal RNA (735 nucleotides) under uncultured archaeon. RNAcentral describes it as "bacterial SSU rRNA". It matches the Rfam family "Archaeal small subunit ribosomal RNA", at positions 325 to 1013 of the family's 1478-position model. The record is from RNAcentral.